RNAcentral lists this ribosomal RNA (439 nucleotides) under uncultured bacterium. Its description in RNAcentral is "partial 16S ribosomal RNA". It matches the Rfam family "Bacterial small subunit ribosomal RNA", at positions 339 to 795 of the family's 1533-position model. The record is from RNAcentral.
CUACGGGUGGCUGCAGUGAGGAAUAUUGCACAAUGGGGGGAACCCUGAUGCAGCAACGCCGCGUGGAGGAUGACGCAUUUCGGUGUGUAAACUCCUUUUAUAUGUCAAGAAAAUGACGGUAGCAUAUGAAUAAGCACCGGCUAACUCCGUGCCAGCAGCCGCGGUAAUACGGAGGGUGCAAGCGUUACUCGGAAUCACUGGGCGUAAAGGACGCGUAGGCGGGUUGGAAAGUCAGGUGUGAAAUCCUACAGCUUAACUGUGGAACUGCACUUGAAACUUCUAAUCUAGAGUAUGGGAGGGGGAGAUGGAAUUAGUGGUGUAGGGGUAAAAUCCGUAGAUAUCACUAGGAAUACCUAAAGCGAAGGCGAUCUCCCGGAACAUUACUGACGCUAAGGCGUGAAAGCGUGGGGAGCAAACAGGAUUAGAUACCCCGGUAGUC